ACAUCCUCAACUCUCACGGCUUGCCGUGAUGAGCUUGGACUUUGGAGGUCUUUGCUGGGCUUUUGCAGGUCAGCUCCUCUCAAAUGGAUCAGCUUUACCGGUGUUCGGUGGCAUCACAGGUGUGAUAACUAUAUCUACGCUUGUGCCUUUCCACCGGGGUAACCUUCGUCACUGAAGGUUCACUGGGGGCUCAUAAAUGUCUCUCCUCAGUGAAGACAGCUCUUUGAAC
Molecule: unclassified non-coding RNA, 229 nt
Filed under: uncultured Tomentella
Lineage: Eukaryota; Fungi; Basidiomycota; Agaricomycetes; Thelephorales; Thelephoraceae
Description: sequence contains ITS2
Source: RNAcentral